RNAcentral lists this ribosomal RNA (397 nucleotides) under uncultured bacterium. RNAcentral describes it as "partial 16S ribosomal RNA". It matches the Rfam family "Bacterial small subunit ribosomal RNA", at positions 338 to 733 of the family's 1533-position model. The record is from RNAcentral.
CCUACGGGAGGCAGCAGUGAGGAAUAUUGGUCAAUGGACGAGAGUCUGAACCAGCCAAGUCGCGUGAGGGAUGACGGUCCUAUGGGUUGUAAACCUCUUUUAUAUGGGAGCAAAGUGCACUACGUAUACCGCUUUGCAGGUACCUUAAGAAAAAGGAUCGGCUAACUCCGUGCCAGCAGCCGCGGUAAUAAGGAGGAUUCGAGCGUUAUCCGGCUUUAUUGGGUUUAAAGGGGGCGUAGGCGGACGGUAAAGUCAGUGGGAAAAUUUUGGGGUUCAACCUCGUCGUGCCGGUGAAACUGGGGGUCUUGAGUGAGCGAGAAGUAGGCGGAAUGCGUGGUGUAGCGGUGAAAUGCAUAGAUAUCACGCAGAACUCCGAUUGCGAAGGCAGCAUACUGGC